This 274-nucleotide long non-coding RNA is filed under the name Phaseolus vulgaris (common bean). RNAcentral's name for it is "long non-coding RNA (PVUL_LNC002267)". Lineage: Eukaryota; Viridiplantae; Streptophyta; Magnoliopsida; Fabales; Fabaceae. The record is from RNAcentral.
UUAGCCUAGAUAAACAAAAUUCACGAAAUGCAAGAAUGAAAAGGAAACUUAUACUUGCGCAGAAAUCAAUGAAGAUCAAACAAAAAGUAUCAAAUACUAGCAAUGGAGGUGAAAGUGAAAUUUUUUCACAAUUGUCGACAAUUGAGAUCAAUAUCAGUCAAAGCAUGUCAGGUACGAUAGGUUUAAUGCAAUAAAUAUUCACUAUGUCUUUCUUUGUUGUGCAAUAAGUGUAUAUAAGUAAGUACCCAAAGGUGUAAUUUUUAUUACAAGUCAU